CGGACUUGCGCGUGCUCAUCAUUUGAAAUAAAUAACGGACACAAAGCAACGGGCGGAACGGUAAUCUGAAGGUAAGUACGUUAUAUUCGACGUUUCACAUGUUUCAUUAGUCGUUUUACUUAUAAUUUAUGUUAAAUGGAACUUUAGAUGUGUAACGUUUUACAUUUUUAUUAUUUUUAAUGAACACUUAAUCACUUUAUACGUUUUUAUGUCGCCCUGUAUAGUGACGAGGUCAUUGACAGCAGCUAAUCUAUGAAGUGAUGAACUCCUCGCCAGAGACGCUCCACAGCCUUGAAUGGGGAAGCUUUGCCAUUUCUUUCGCUGGAAUCUUCAAUUGAAAACAUCAAGAUCAUUAACCUGUGUCAGCCUGGACAGACUUCUGUUUCAGUUCUGACUGCACCACACUAAUCUCUCUGCUUAUGUGGAUCACUGACUACUAUGUUCUCUGAAGCGGAUGCCCUUCCAGCCUCAACCCAUCUCUGGGAAACAUCCACACACACUCAUUCACUACAGACAAUUUUAGCCUACCCAAUUCACCUGUACCGCAUGUCUUUGGACAGUGGGGGAACCCGGAGCACCUGGAGGAAACCCAUGUAAACACAGGGAGAACAUGCACAGAGACGCCAACUGACCCAGCCAAGGCUCGAACCAGCGACAUUCUUGCUGUGAGGUGACAGCACUACCUACUGCGCCACUGCGUCGCAGACUCUGAAGUUGCAGCCAAAAUGUGCGACACAACAGCCACAUCAUUUACAGGGCCGUGAGAGACCACCUGUACGGUCUGGCGGUGGCAGACGCAGAGCUGAAAACACUAAUCUGAUGCUUUUUUGUUGUUGUUGUUGUUGUUGUUGUGUUAAUGUUAACUUGACCAAUGCAUGUUUUGUCAUUACUUUUGUCUGCUGUACUAUUUUGAGAGCAAAU
Molecule: long non-coding RNA, 921 nt
Organism: Danio aesculapii
Lineage: Eukaryota; Metazoa; Chordata; Actinopteri; Cypriniformes; Danionidae
Exons: 5
Source: RefSeq, a predicted model, not a curated record